UGGCAAAAAUACACGAGAGAAUUCGGACAAUCAAUGAAACGAUUUUUUUAUCACAAACGACUCUACCAAUUUUUAGUAUUUGCAACCGGGUUGAAAGUUUGCCCCCUUAGUUGUUUAACGUACCUGGAAGAGUCAGACUUGUCAGCCGGAUCAGAACAGUGUUUAUCCAAGAUUUUUCACCUCUGUUUUGGGACCAACUUCUGUUCCCUUUCAAAUCUACUGUUCUUCUCUUGUUCUUCUGUUUUUUAUCAUUUGCUCCGGAUGACGUAUCGAUGUUUAUUAUAGCUUCUGUUCUCACGGUCCGGCUCUCCCAC
Molecule: long non-coding RNA, 314 nt
Filed under: Androctonus crassicauda
Lineage: Eukaryota; Metazoa; Arthropoda; Arachnida; Scorpiones; Buthidae
Source: RNAcentral